RNAcentral lists this ribosomal RNA (436 nucleotides) under uncultured bacterium. Its description in RNAcentral is "partial 16S ribosomal RNA". It matches the Rfam family "Bacterial small subunit ribosomal RNA", at positions 28 to 507 of the family's 1533-position model. The record is from RNAcentral.
GAUGAACGCUGGCGGUAUGCUUAACACAUGCAAGUCGAACGGGGUUCAUAGUCACCUAGUGGCGGACGGGUGAGUAACGCGUGAGAAUCUGGCCUCAGGUCCGGGACAACCACGGGAAACGGUGGCUAAUACCGGAUGUGCCAUAUUGGUGAAAGAUUAAUUGCCUGAGGAUGAGCUCGCGUCUGAUUAGCUAGUUGGUGGGGUAAAGGCUUACCAAGGCGACGAUCAGUAACUGGUCUGAGAGGAUGACCAGUCACACUGGGACUGAGACACGGCCCAGACUCCUACGGGAGGCAGCAGUGGGGAAUUUUCCGCAAUGGGCGAAAGCCUGACGGAGCAAUACCGCGUGAGGGAGGAAGGCUCUUGGGGUGUAAACCUCUUUUCUCAGGGAAGAAGAAUGACGGUACCUGAGGAAUCAGCAUCGGCUAACUCCGUG